RNAcentral lists this ribosomal RNA (607 nucleotides) under uncultured marine bacterium. Its description in RNAcentral is "bacterial SSU rRNA". It matches the Rfam family "Bacterial small subunit ribosomal RNA", at positions 262 to 889 of the family's 1533-position model. The record is from RNAcentral.
AGCUCACCAAGGCGACGAUCUAUAGCUGGUUUGAGAGGAUGAUCAGCCACACUGGGACUGAGACACGGCCCAGACUCCUACGGGAGGCAGCAGUGGGGAAUAUUGGACAAUGGGGGCAACCCUGAUCCAGCCAUGCCGCGUGAGUGAAGAAGGCCCUAGGGUUGUAAAACUCUUUCAGGUGGGAAGAUAAUGACGGUACCACCAGAAGAAGCUCCGGCUAACUCCGUGCCAGCAGCCGCGGUAAUACGGAGGGAGCUAGCGUUGUUCGGAAUUACUGGGCGUAAAGCGCGCGUAGGCGGCUUGCCAAGUUGGGGGUGAAAGCCCGGGGCUCAACCUCGGAACUGCCCUCAAAACUGGCGAGCUAGAAUACUGGAGAGGUGAGUGGAAUUCCUAGUGUAGAGGUGAAAUUCGUAGAUAUUAGGAAGAACACCGGUGGCGAAGGCGGCUCACUGGACAGUUAUUGACGCUGAGGUGCGAAAGCGUGGGGAGCGAACAGGAUUAGAUACCCUGGUAGUCCACGCCGUAACGAUGGGUGCUAGGUGUUGGGCAGCAUGCUGUUCAGUGCCGAAGCUAACGGAUUAGCAUUCCGCCUGGGGAGUACGGUCGC